This is a non-coding RNA of Coturnix japonica (Japanese quail), 13646 nucleotides long. Lineage: Eukaryota; Metazoa; Chordata; Aves; Galliformes; Phasianidae. The record is from RefSeq and is a predicted model, not a curated record.
AAUUGUGGUACAUGAGGCUAUAAAGUGAUCUGAGAGCCAAAAUAAUGGGCUUACAACCAUCAGAAAGCCCUUUCCCUCCUAACUUGGGCAGCCAAUAGCAUGCGUCCAGGAGAGUUAGUUUUUAUUCUUGUCCCAUUUUUCAUCUUUUCCUUUAGUUAUGACCUAUUGGACCUAACGGGAAAUAGAUUAUUUAAACCAGUUGAACUUUAAAUCAAAGCAACAGACACUUUGUAUCUGAGAGUUGUACUCUGUUUGCUCUGUUUGUAGCCCAUAGAGCUAAGCAGUUUUUCUACAUGGUGGUAGGGCUGCCACUGAGUGCCUUUUGGAACAUCUGCCCACAGGCUCUGCUUAGGUUGCUCUUCAGGAAGAAGGGAAGCAUGCCCACAAGAUCUUCGUCUCCAUUUUGUGGCACAGGAACCUAAAGUAACUAGGAGUUGCACUACUGAUUGUUGGAUUCUGAAGAUCUAUCUCUUAUCUGCAAUCCAAUGGCAACAUUUUCCAGUUCAGCUCUAUCUCUCUCUUGAGGUUAAAUUUGAAAAGCCAAAGGAAAUUCUCUUAAGCAAACUGUUUUAAGAUGCAAGGGCUUCUACAAAAGUAAUGCCUGCUAUUUUAUGAUGUUGGCUCACAGUGUCAGAGGCGGGCAUUGGUGGUAUUUCAGUAGGGAUUGAACCUUCCCAUCAAUAUUCUGUUUCAUUGCUGCACGACAAUGGCAGCGGAGCGGCUGUCUAACAAUGGUAUCUGACGUGGAAAUGCAUGUUAAGCAAAGGUGUGGAGCUGAAAAUUCCUCCAUGUGAAAAAGUUGCACCCAUUGACGUUUAAGCACAGUGGGGCAGUAGGUGGUACAUUUCAGCAGGGGCAACAGUAGGUCACCUCCACUGGAGCAUAUUUUUACAAGUAUGAAAUGAGGGCUGGAUGUCAAAAAUGCGUAGUUCAUGGUGGUUAUUAUAUUGAAAAAUAAUGUUUAGUGGCUGAAAAGUUACUAUAUCAAAUAGUGUUAUUGUGGUCUUUGUAUGUGUUAUAGUGUCCAUGGAAAUAAAUAAGAGAAAAACAAUAGAAGGCCUUUGUUCCAGUCAACAAAGUAUAGCAUGGUAGGGUUCUUCCAGUGUCCUACCACCUAAGUUUGAUUCCUGGGACCUGCCUGCAUGUGUACUAGUGUCAUAAUAUCUGUUGAGAUUGAUUUAACUCAAUGAAGCUGUUUGGAAAGGUGCCGUGAUGCGGUAGAUUCUUGCGUGGUUGCACCUGAGUUUGGGGAACAAGUGAAACUGAACUGGUGUUCUAAUAUCCUUUGUGUUUUGUUUUUCUUUUCUUUUUUUUUGCUAAGUGGUAAUGCAUGCCUAGUUUGAAGAAAUGCUCUUAAGAAAAGUUAAUUCUUCGUGAAUGAAAUAAUUUGCUUGAGAAGAGCAGUUGGAUGAGAAAUAGCAAUUCUUGCAGUGCCACAGUGCUGCACCACUAGACCAGCAGGUCACACUUUGGCAAACACAGAGCUCAUGCAUUUCUUUCAGUGAUAAUACUGUCAACUCCAAUUUACAGCAGUCUGUUUUAAUGCAUAGCUUACCAAUAAUUUGUAGUGAUCAGAAGAUCAAUAAGAUUUAGCAUUCGCAUUUAGAAUGAACAAGUAACUGUUGGGAGUCCUCCUGGGGGCUCCUUUCUCUUCUUUGGCUGCGACAGCUCUGAGUCCUCAAAGUUGAAUUGAUGUAAUUUUAAUUUUAGGAUGUAAGAAUCCAGACACUUGCUGUUUUUAAAUUGAGCAACUCAUGAAAGUAAAAUCAGGGUGCUGUGUCAGUGAUGGAAUUUUAUCUCCUUGUUUUUCAGCCUUACAGAUGCAAGCACACCCUGGCUAAUGGCCCUGACUGCUAGCAGCAGCAGCAGUUGUGUAACAGUCUUUCUCCAGGGCUUGCUUCCCCACAUGGUGUGACCUCUUUCCUAGCUUAUUGAGAUAAAAUCUCCUACAUUCUUGACCUGAUCUGAUGGAGGUGGCAACUGAGUGGCAUUUUUUAAAUCAGUAGUCUCCCCAUGAGUACAUCAUCUAGCACACAUUAUACCUUUAAAAAUGCAAUAAAUAAAUACCUUCACUUCCCUGAAAUCCAGCUAUGACUCCGGCAUAGAGGUGUUUCAUGCAGCCUGUUAAAUUUAAGGGAUUUUUUUCCCCUCUCCAAGUCUAAUUUUUAGGUAUACAGCACUCAACUUGUCUAAAAAUACUUUCUCAGAGCAGCAAGGCAUUGAGAGUAGCCUGCUAAGAGCUCCAGUGAGAAAAGUAUCACGUGAGAUUGUGGAGGAAGAAGAGUCAGUGACUGUUACUGUGUUACUUGGAGAAGAGCCCUUUAACAAUCAAACACAAGAAUAAUACAGAGGAAAACAUAUUUUAGCUCUCCUCAUCUCUAGAGUGUUUUUUCUUUUAAUGAGUAAACUUGAUGUCUGUUUCUCUUGCUGUUGUUAUCUGUUGAUCUACCGCUUCCAUCCUAGAAGGAUAUCAACAAGUUGAGAUCCAUGCUUGAUACAAAGCCAGUACUAAUUUAAAGGGAAAAAAAAUCAACGUAUUAGGGUUUCCCUAACAAGAAAUGCCAAUUAUCUGUAAUGCUUGUCACUAGUUGUAGUCUAUAGGACUAGUCUAGUCAGUGUAUAUGUAAUUCCUUUAGUAAAUUACAAAGACACUGUGGAUUUUGAACUAUUUGCAAAUAAAUAUUUAUGUUUAUCUUCUGUUCAGAUCAAGUGCGUGUAUGCAAAUGUACAGGUGUUUAAAAGAAAUGAUAUGUCAACUGUAGCUUGUGACACAUAAGAGUGAUACAAACAUGUUCUUAAGCUUUUGUAUUUCUGGGUAAUUAAAAAAGCCAAAAUAUAUUUUAAUCUAACGUUAGCAGGUUUCUAAGAUCUGUGCAUUUGUCAACAAUAUGGCAAAUGAUUCUUGCCCCUCAUACAUAAGAGUAGGUGCAGAACAGUUAGGGAGAACUUGGUGGAUUACUGCUGAAAUUUCAUUGUUUCCUCAACUAUAAUGAGUACAGACUCUGGGCUUAAAUGUUAUUAAUAUUACUGAACUGAGUCCUAUAGGCAUGAAUUAUUUCAGGUGGCAAUGCAAAUUUUCCCUAGCUGCUUAAAACCUGCUCAGAAAAAAACUAUUCAGAUUCCAUUCUUUCUGCUGGAGGAGGCAGGCACAUUAAUCCACUUUGCUUACUUUGCAGUUACUAAAAUUUAUUAUUUUGGAGAUGGUUUUUUUCAGAACCUUCGCCACAAAUUGCUAUAAGUGCACCUCUGGAGAAGCUCUUAUCAUUGUUUCAGAUGCAUAGGAAGUGAUAGGAAGGGUUAUUUGACUUGCAUGUUUCAUUUUUAAGAUUCAGGUAGCAGCCUGCUUCAUCAGAGGAGAAUUGGCUCAAUGUGGCCAGAAUACAUAGCUUGCUUAUUGAGAGCCCUCUGCGUUCAGUAUUUUCUGAGGCUUUUCCUGUGCCCGUCAUUUGUUGUACUGACUGUUUUCAAGUGCAUAACUACUCCCAGUAGCCUGUAAUUGCAAGGUCAGUCUAAGGUGAAACUGUGUCUUGUUUAGGGAAAGACAUGAACAAUCUGCUUAGGCCAUAUGUUGUUGCCUUGUCCUUUUCUUGAAACCUUUGGGUAGCUCAGCAUGUUACUUACAAUAAUUAGGAGCACCAAAAUCUUUCAGAGUGUGUGAUUGGGGACAGCUUAGCUUGAGUGUAAUUGGGAGCUUUGUGGGGUCUGUUCAAGCCAGAGUCUUAGAUGGUAUAGUAAGAAACUAAUUUGGAUCUGUUAUUUGAUUUUGAGGGUGAAUUCCAUCACAUUUCUGCAUUUUUCUUGAGCACUUUUAUUGCAGAGAAUGAAAACCAGCAGGUGUUUAUUUCUGUUUGUUUACAAAAGCAUCAUUUUUGUUUCAUGCCUGUGGUACUGGCUUCUCUACAUCAGCCAGAAGCUAGUGUGUCUGGAGGAAUUUAUUUCUUCUUUAAAAGCUGAGGUUUUUCUUUGACAGUAAUGCAAAAAGCAGGAAAGGGUUGAGCUAUGAAAGGAUGCUGCUUCGAAAGACAGCUUGCUUACGGCCUUCCAUUGAUGUUCAGUCUAGAUGUUCACUCUGUUAAUUUGGUUAGAAACACUUAGGGACAGAGAUCUAUUAUUUCCUCACUGGAAGGAAAAAAAAAAAAAGGCAAGCUAAAGCUUUGUUUUAAAAUGAUUAAGGUUGCUAAGUAACAGUUUUCCCUCAAUUGAGUGUCUUCCUCAACAACUAAUCUCAAAGUCUUAAAUGUGAGAAAUUAAAGAUGUGAUAGAUCAUACUAUGUCCACAUGAGAAAUAGACAUUUGGAAUUAAACCUUGGUCCCACUGCUGUCAAUGAAAAAAAAUUCCACUGCCUUCAAUGGCAUGAAUAUUUCUUUACUGGUUCUCAUCCAGUAUAGAAAAAUAUGUGGUAUAAUGUGCCUAUUUCACAAUUUUGCUUAUUUUUAAUGAACUAAUUAUUAGCAGAUCCAGGUUUUCGCUAAGUUCUCUUAUCAGUGAGUUCUUGCAUCUGAGUGAGCGAUUCUGGACCUUGGAAAGGGCAACCUUGUAUAUAUGACAAGAUGGGGAAUGAAAGGCUGGACAGCAGCCCCACAUAAAGGGAUCUGGGGAUUCUAGCUGGCAACAAGUUGAACGUAAGCCAGCAGUGUACCUUGACAUCCUGGAGCUGUGCUAGGAGAGAGGUAAGUGGGGGAUAGGAAAAGGUUCUGCGCCAGAGGGCAGUGGGUAUGGAAUGGGCUGCCCUGGGCAGUAUGCAUGGCCCUAAGUGCUGGAGUCCAAGGAACGUUUGGACAGUGCUCUCAGACACAGAGCUGGAUUUUCGGUGGUGAUGUGUGGAGCCAGGAGUUAGACUCUGUGAUUCUUGGGGGUCCAUCUUAACUUGGGAUGUCUUAUGUUUGUUUGAAGCAGAUGAAGAAAUGUUCAAAUAUGGGAAUGAAAUCAAAUGUUAGCAUAAAUUUAAGAAGGGAAUGUAUCGAGCUGUUAAUGAUGAUUGUUUCCAUCUGUGUGUACGUGCUGUUGUCCAGUUACUUGUGUUAGUUACACAGGUGUAACACAGAUUGCUUUUUUUUUUUUUUGUCUGUUUGUUUUGCAGUGUGUGCAAAAGUAGAGAGAAACAGACUUGAGUUUUAAGUUGAGGACUGGAACCACAUCCUUCUACUUCACAGCAGAAUGCUGUAUAGUAUAGCGCCUCUUGAUCAAGCCAAUAAAUAUCUCACAGUACAGAGAUGCCUCGUCUAAUCACAUCUGGGUUAUUACCAGAAAUGGAAGGGAAAUAAGUUCUGCACAUAGGUGAGUGAUCUUUGCUAUAGAUUUAUUAGCUCUAGUGAAGUACCGCUUGGACACUUCUGGCCCUAGGUUGAUUUACCUGUGUGAUAUUGUGCUGCUCAGAACAAAUAGAUGAUUAUGGCUACCUAUUUGCUCAAAUAGUCAUCCACUCUGAUCUGUGCACAUUGUAGACAUACUUACCAGUAUUUAUACUGGUGCGUUUUGUAGUUAUGCUGUGUGGCUUCCAUGUCUUUCUCAUUUGAAGAUCUCAAAGCUGUUGACAGUGUUCAGAGGUUGGUAAAUAAUUAGACUUGGCCUGGAGGUGUUGAAGACCAGGUUGGAUGGGACCCAUGGCAACCUGACCUAGUACUUGAUCUAGCAGUUAGCAACCCUGCCUUUGGCAGAGCGAUUGGAACUUUUGAUGGUCCUUGAGGUCCCUUCCAACCUAAGCCAUUCCAUGGUUCUAUGCCAUAGCAUGAAGUGUGAAUUUGUCAUAAAUACUUAAGAGGCCAGUUUCCCCAGUCUCUCAUCAUGGUUGAGUUUCUUUUCUGGUUUUCAAGUUUCAUUGUACGAAGUGUUGAUGCUGGCAUACAUAAGAUGAUUAUUUUUCAUCCUUGCCAUUCUCUAGAAAAUAUAGCAGAUGUGAUAUUUUAAGCACACAGUUUCCUAAACACUUUUUAUCUUAUACAUCUGGAUUGAAUACACUGAGAGCUUUUACUUUUGUGGUGAGCUUUUGUGCUUGGUCACCAUAUGUUGGCCACCAUAUGUUUUCCACCAUCUCCUUGCUGCACCAUCCUCCUUAUGGCACUUAGCUUCUUUGCGGUCAUGUCUGAAUUGCUCUGAACUUUUGUCUCACACUGUAGUCUUGCCAGUGUGCCAGUGGCUUGUGCCACUGGAUGAGGAGUUUGGGCAGAACUGACAUUACAGCUGAAGAGCUCCAGGCAUUCAAGUGAGAGAAUCUAUCCUUUCCCUCUGCCCUGCCUCCCUCUCCUCCAGAGGACAGGAAACAAAACAAAACAAAAAAAACAACAAAAGAAAGAGGCAUACUAGUAAGCAUACUAUCCUGUGUCAACAGUUUCAAGAAAAUUGGAAGCUUAUUGUAUUGGGUUUUUGUAGUAAGGUUUUGGUACUGAGUACCAGGAGACUUUAAUGGGUGAGCAGAGACCAAUACUGACUGUCCCAUCCCAUCCCUGAAGGGGAUCUGCUGCUACUAGAGCUGAGCUGUGAGCAAUGCUGGAUAUGCUAUGAGAGCAGUUCUGAGGAAGGGAAAAAUUGCUGCACAACGGCAGCUGGGAAGGAGGGCAUAUGGUGAGAAACAUCCCUGCAGCCAUGAAGGUCAGUGCAGGAGUAGGGCAGGAGGUUCUCCAGAUGUGGAGCAGAAGCUCCCUGCAGCUUAGCAGAGGCCCGUGGAGGAGCAGGCUCUCCUGCAGCUCGCAGCCACCAUGCAGAGUAGAUUUCCAUGUGCAGCCAUGGAGGAACCUGCAGUGCAGCGGUGGAUGAUGCCUGAAGGAGGUCCAGCCCAUGGAGAGUCGCCGCAGGUAAAAAAAAGUACAUUAAUCUCCCUGUGCUUAAUGUGUUUUGUCCAUGACAGUAAUUGGUGAACAAUCUUCCUGUCCUUAAUCCUCCAGCCCAUUUCUGUUUUAUGUUCUCCUGUUCUUUGAGGAGGGGGAGUGAGAGAGCGGUGUGGAGUCUAGUUACCUGUCACAGUAAAACCACCACACUCAUGCAACUGCGUUGUUAAGCAGAAACGGUUGAGUUACAUUAAUCUCCCUUCAGAUUUAAGUCACUGAAUGUUGUUUUGUCUUUAUCUGUCUAAAACUAAAUUCCUCACAGAAUGCUCAUUUUUAAAACAACAGCAAAAAAACCUACAUACCUGUAAAUCCAGAUCCUCUCUCUGUCUUCUGCUCAGUAAGACCAUUGAUAAAAUACUGUCCUGUGAGUGCAACUUUCGUUGAUUCUUCACAGAGAUAUUUUUGGCGUUUUAGGAUCUAUUAAGAAUAUUUGUCGUGUGAUCAUUUAGCCAAGUGAUUCAGACUAUUUGUGGCAGUAACCAGCUCCCUCGUUUCUCAGUGUUCCAUGAAUCUCUCGAUUGAAACGCUUAGGUACUGAAGAUUUUCCAUUCUCAACCAUCAGGAAUAUCUCCAGAUAAUCAGUUAAAAAUAUUGACGAGAUUUAGACCAAAAAUGAUCUUUGAAGUACCUCAACAAUUAGCUGCUCAGUUCAUUAACGCUUUCCUAAUCAUUUCAUCUUUUUAAAUUGUAAGGUUACAAAAUCCAAGUUCUCCAUCAACAAAAGCUUUUUUUUUUUUUUUUAACAUCUAAACAUCAUAUACUCUCAAUACCAUUAAUAGUUUGUAUUACAAGACCCAUUUACAUGAAACUUGUUGGCAAAAAUUGUUUUAUUCCUUAGCAUCUGUCUCUUUGCUGAUGGUGUGUGUUGUUGUCCAGUGUAUUUAGGUAUUUUAGGAGCCAUAUCAGGUUACUCAGACACUGGAUUCUUAUUUUUUACAUAGAUGUACUUUUAGAAACUCUCAACUAUGGAUCCAAAUUUACAUUUCCGUAAUCAGCUAGAAAUUAUCUAUGUUUUGCUGUCAGGAUCUUAUUUCAUUAUCCAUUUGGGGACAGCUAGUAAUUGCUACCAGUUUUCACUAAUACUUCUCUAAUUUAAUUCUAAAACAUGGUUGUGAUAGUUGCGUAAACUUUUCAGAAACUGGCACUUUGAAAAGUUCUUGUUAUAUUUAAUGUUGUUCAUUGCACCAUAUAUUGUGCAAACAAAGUAGAUGAAAUGCAAUAUCUCUUUUCAAGGUAUCCAUUUCAGUUUAAAGUUAGUGAUUAAUUCUUCUUUGGUCUUUAAGGUCAUUAUCAAGUCACAUCUCUGUUGAUUGCUGUGCAUGCUCAGUAAUCAGUUAUUGUGUACUUUUAAAAGCUAUAGUUUUUAAAAGCUAUAAAUGUUUAACAUUUUCUAGAUUGUUGAAGUAAAUUUGUUGAACCUGUUACACUUUGCUGACAUCCAUUAAUUGAAAAUUUUGCCUACUUGCUAUUUUUGCAAGUGUAUGUCCUGCAGUUAUCCUGUCUUGGAAUUUGUGAAUCAGACUUCACACGUUCUGAUUUAUCUGCUGAAAAGAUAAUACAGGCCCUGAGAUAAACUUGUUUCAGUAUUCUAGUAUUAUGAUCCAUUCCAUUGGGCUUCAGUAAUAUUUCUCAUACUUUAUCUUUAUUCUCUAUGUGAAAUAACUAUAGUUCUUCUAGCCAUGUGCUUUCAGAGGUUUGCUAUGAUUGUAUUUAUGUUGAGAGUGGCUUACAUAAUAGUAUUUGAACCAUUAUUUCUCUCUUGAAUGAAAAACCUUCUUCAUUACCUGACCAUGUUUAUUCUUGCAAAGAAAGAAUGUUUUACAAAGACAGGGACAACUGAAGCAUGAUAGAGGUUCCAGAAGAGACUUCCCAUUACUUAACCAAUCAAAAUGUACCGUUUGGUAUCAACAUUUUAGCUCACUAAUGUAGCCUGCCUUACAGAUUUAGCUCAUUACUUCUUUUUGAGGGAAAAGAGGCAUGUAUGAUACGACUUUCCAAAUAUUCAUUUUCAAUAACUGGAAAUUCUUCCCAGAUUAGUCAAUUGCAGGUUGGUAGGUCAUCCAAAGUACCAACAACUGAGGCUUACUGACAGGUAAAUGGCUCUUUCUCACCUUUUCUGUUCUACUUUUGGAAGGUAGAAAAAGUGUCUUGCUCGUCAGCACAGAUACUCAGUGAACAUGAUCUUGACAUGAAUGCUUCAAUAACUUAGUCUCACACCUGCAGUUUGGACUGGCCUCUAGUUCACUUCUUUCUCUUCAGGUGUCUCUUUCAGCACGUUAUUUCUUACGUCCAUCUCUGGUGACAUACUUUAAGUCUUCAUUUAUGGUGUAUUAAUGAUGGCUUGCAAACUGGCAUUGCAAUUGUGUACAUGAACAAAAUAUAUCUUUGAAAUUCAUCUUAAAUUUUCUGCAAACUACUCUUGUAAUAUGUUGUCACCAACAAUACAAACAUUAGAACGCUUUGACCUGUUUCAAAACUGUGGAAGUAGGAAAUGCUUGUGUUGUUUUUCCAAACAAAUUUCUUAUAAAUGAAUGAUUUGUCUAUAGAAGCAAAUCUUCCCUUGAUUCUGUGUGAUUUCAAGCAUUACUCUGUGAAUAUGUAAUUUUGUAAAAUAGACAAGAAAUGAACUAGUUUACAAGAAAUAAAUUACCUAUCAGAUAUCAGCUAUAUUGUGUUUUAUUACUUAGAUAAUGGCAAGUCUAAGGAACCUGGUGAAUUUAAAAGAAAUUGAUUAGUAUUCUCAAUAGGGCCUUCCCCAUUAUUUACUCGGAUUUGUGCUUUCUUUAAAAAUCCACUUUUUUAUGUAUUGAACAUAGCCAAAAAGUUCAUUGUUCUUAUUAGAAAAGAACUUAUACAACAUGUAACUCUUUUAUUGUGAUAUAUUUAUUUGUGAUCUACUGUAGUAAUUUACAAAUAUGCUUAUGAGAACCUGCUCUCGUGGGCAUAAAACUGUCUAGACAGAAAAUUCUGGUUAUGUGAGAAAGGAACUUUCUUCCAUUUAAUUUAAAUGCGAUGUUGAAGUGAAACAUUAGUACAAAGAGAUUUAAAGAUAUCGUAUGUUGGAGAUUGAGUUAUUGUGGUAUUAUGUUAAUAAUAAACCGUUUUCAUAGGUCAUCAAGCUUAUAAUGAAAAGGAUUGAUUAAUUUAGGGAACCUAUACAGAAAAUUAAAGCUUUCUAAAGUAUUCAUGACACAGACCCCAGCAAAUAACAAGUGCCUUAUUAAGAAGUUCUGUUGCUAGGAGACGGUAACCACAGUGCUGGAAUAACAUGUUUUUAUUUCAUAUAAGAAAUGCAGUUUAAUGCAGAUCGUUAGGUAAUGAGCAAGUAUGGCUAUGUGAUAUAAGGAUUUGGGCGAAUGUUUAAUUUGUGAGUUGGAAAGCCAUGAAAAUUGAAAGUCUUUAAAGUAUACCUCAGUGUCGUGUGCCACAGGAACAGACUGGCGGCGAAGAUCUGUUUGAAGUUUCACUGAAAGUAGGUAGGCAGCCUGCUGCAAAGUACUCAGGUGGAGUAAUUACAGUACAUAAAUCAAAUAGGAAUAAAUAAAGACAAUAAAUGGCUUUAAAAGAUGAGAUGUUCAUACAGCUGUUUAAUCUUGCUGAUACAGAAUCAAGUUAAGCAAUGGGAAGAACGAUGUGAUUCAUAAUGCCGUGUAAUAAGCUGUCUAAAAACAGAGUCUGUGAAAGCACAAGUGAGACAGGAAGGCUUGGUGUCACCAGCAAAAAUAUGGUAAUACAUUAUAGGAGAUGCUGAGAAUGACCACAUCUAACAAAAUAUCAAAAUAGCAGAUUGUUUGUAGAAACAAAAUCAUAAAUAAUAUCCAGCAGUUCAUUUAACUAUGGAAAUUGUGCUAAAAGAGUUCAGAUAUAUCAUCUGAAGGAAUUUGACCCAGAAAACAUGUUCCACCCCACUAAUGUAUAGUACUAAAGCACGGCAGAGGGGCUUUCUUUUUGAACUCUGCCAAGUCUGCAUCCUAAAACACUCCAUGCUCUGAUUGUGUGCAUGUUCUCUAUAUGACCCAGCUUGCCCUGACUUGUUAGCUUUUGGGGUUCCUUAAAGCUGUGCUGAUAGCUCUUAGCUGGGCUGUGGAGAGAUUCAGGCUUAUGCCUUUAAUUCUGGUACAGCUGGUGAGUAUGCAGGCUUUGGUAUAUGAGUUGUUCAUAAAGGAGGAGAUAAUUUUAUAAUAGCAGCGUCUAGUCACUCUGCCUUCAUUUCUACAUCUUUUCAAUGAAAGCAGCCCACAAGCUGGAUGUAGGCCCUGCUGCUGAUUCAUGCACAUGUCCCUUUCACAUUGAUUAAAACAGAAGAUUCAUUUUAUAACAUGAAUAUAUGCCCUUGCUGAAAUCAUUACUUUAAUCAUUUAAUUGUUGUUGACUUUAUGUUGUCUCCAAACUUAGCAGAACUGAUGCAGUGGUACUCCCUCCCCUUACAAAUAAGAGCAUAAGGGUGAAUAGCAUAAAAAUAAUUCUAAGUUUUGAAUGCAGGUAAAUAUUUUAUGCCCUUCCCUCCACCACCGUUUACUUUGGACAUCUUUCUGGAAAGUGCUGUUGUGAAUGGCUCUGCUGGCAGAAUUUUUCAUGACACUCCCUUGCAAAUCUCCACGUUUUCUGCUUCCACGCUCAAGUUGCCACAACAGGCUCUCCAUUUGCAGGCUGUUUGCAUGGGCCCAUCACACACAGAUUCUCACAAGAAAUAAAGUGGGAAGAUUUGUUCUAUCCAGGAAACAUGGUUACUGCCCCUUCACUGGUAUUCUUGCUGACUGAACUCAGGAUCACAAGGUUUGGAAAUACCAUUUAAUAUCUAGGACAGGAAUGACGUGGAGAUCAUUUAACAUGUAGGUAGGACUUUCAAUCAGGAUUAAGACUAUGCUGUGCCAAAAGAGCAGCUAUGAUUGGCAAACAGUUCAAUUCAGGUUCAGAAAAUAAAAUCUUUGAGGAAUUAAACUACAUUUUUGUUUCACUAAAGUUUAUUUUAUUUUUAAUUUGUAUGUUUUUGGUGCUUCUCAUUAAAAACCUGUAUUCAUAACUGAGAUCUGAGAAUGGAAAAAGCAGAAUUUAUUUAUUUAUUAUUAUAACUUCAAGAUGGAUUUUAAAUUGUGUAAUCAGAGUUGCUUCACUUAGAUGCGCAGCUAUGAAAAGAAAAAAAAACCUCAAGUGUCCUAAAGAAGUUGUUGUAUGUUUCUUUUUUUCUGCUGAGGUCAAGUUCAUUAUUGUAACUUUGUGUUUUUCAUAGUGCCACUGCCAGAUGACAUUAAAAUUACUAAUACAGAAGUAGAUUAAAAGAACAUGAUUAAGAUUGCAAAGUCAGGAAAAAUCAUAAUUAAGGUUGCCUGUGCAAUUUUAACUCAGUUCCUGUGUGGAUAUCCAUCCUGAUAAGAGUGUUUAAUUACGUAGCCAUGGUCUUUAUUAUUAUUAUUUUUUUUCCUCAGGACUCUUCCCAAUCACUGAGCACCAUCUUACUGACUCCUCUUAAAACGGAGCCUUUUGCAGUUCAGUGAGAAUGAAUAUGAAGCUCUGUGAUCUUGGUGGACCAGUGUGUCUGAUCGUGUUUCUUCUUGUAUCACAGCUACCUUUUGAAGAAGAAGAAAUGAAAAAGCACAAAAACAAAAUGGUUUUCAGGCUGUGGAACUACUAAAAUAUCUGAAUCAAUGAAUUAUCAAUAAAAAAAUCUUUCAGAAAUGAUAUUGUAGAAGAAACUACUACUGAAGAACAGUGACAUUUCCACUCAAGAUUUUCUAGUCCUGGCGUAACGUGGUACUGAUCAUUAGCAUGACUGUAUCAUUUCUGUAUCAUGGUGAUUUGUGUCUGGACAAGAAGGUGCAUGUAUAAAGAUUGCUUCUACAAGUCUGUACCUGUAUGCAGAGCUGAACCCCAAAUAUCAUAAUCUGACAAAGAGUAAGCUGUUAUUAUAGUAAAAGUUAUAUAGGAGGUCUUAAAAUAAGCUUUCUCCCUGCUAACUGACAGGAGAGGCUGAUUGGCUUUAACAUAGUACACCAAAGGGUAUUCCUGAAUUAGUUUCACCUUUAUUUCGGAGAAACCAGAAGGAUAAUCAUUUAAUAAUUUCAUGUAAGUGUUGUCACGAUCAAGAGAAGAACGUGAUUCAUUUAAAUCUGGAAGAGAAUCUAAGUGACUGCUUUGCAUCAGUAAACUUCAGAGUGCUCUGUAAUUCGUCAUGCUCGACAGCAAGAAAACCAAGUUGAAGGAAGUGCAUGUAUAAUGCUGUUAGAACAGUUUUGAAAUUGCUGAACUUUACACUUCAGUUCACUGACUGGUGUGACAUUAAGAACACAAGAAAGGUCAGUUAAAUGGCAACAUCAAAAAGUUUCUUAAAUUACAAGAUGGCUCUUGCCCGUGUCCAGGCUGCUGGUGAAUCCUUAGCUAACUGUCAUGGCAUACCAGUAGACAAACACUCUAGAUGUAAAAAUAUGUACUUUCAGUGUUCAAAUUAUUUGCAGUGGGGGAGCAACAUUCCCAAACUUCCACUGUGAUCAAACAGAAAGCAGAUUUUGAGAAGGUAUUACUUAACUUUUUUUUUUUAAAGUUCUGAAAGAUGAAGGCUUUGAUUUCUGUAAAGCAGUUUAUGCUACUACUUAAAUUUGACCUCUAACUUAAUGCUAUUAUAAGCAGGAAUAUAACUAAUAUUUCUUUCUGGCAGUAGGGCCAGCGGGUCAGUAGUUGCUCAGGACAGGAAAACACUAUAUGUAUACCAAGUAGGAGCUCCACAUUUUCGGAUCCUGUUUGUACCAAGCUGGAUUAAAGUUUGUUACAUAAGGGGGCUGUAAUCAGCAACUUGAAAGUGCAAAAAUAAAAGACUGUUCAACUUA